GAGACGUGUUAAAGAGAGGACAUCUAAGCUCAAUCCGCUAGUGCCUGCUUCCGUUGUCUCUUGUCAGUUGUCAAACAGUGCGUCUGUCCGAAACCUCUGAAACUCCGAACCAUGAGCGGCGAAUCAACCGGAGAAGAAGCACUGGCCAAAGCCGCCUCCGCCACCGACGAUCUCUACCACCUCCGAGACACUUAUUUUCCGGCGAAUCCCGACGACAAAACUGCCAAGUUGCAGACUCAAUCCGAUCUCGCUCUCAGCCUCCUCGAUUCCAUCCCUCCCGAACAAAGAAAACUUCCCCUGCAACGAGCAACUUAUGAGUAUCUGAGAGGAAAGAUACUAGAUGUAUUUGCUGACUACAGGAAAGAAGCAGAGGAUCAUCUCUCGAAAGCCGUUAAGUUGAACCCAUCCCUUGCAGAUGCUUGGCUAUGCUUAGGUAAUUGCAUUUGGAAGAAGGGAGAUCUAUCUGCAGCAAAGAAUUGUUUCACUCUUGCAUUAAGCAAGGGUCGAAACAAAAAGAUAAUGUGUCAAUUGUCAAUGCUUAAUAGAAAAAUAGCUCAAGGCACUGAGAAUCAGGCAGAACUCAUUGAAGAAAGCAUUCAACAUGCCAAGGAAGCUAUAACUCUGGAUGUUAAGGAUGGCAAUUCUUGGUAUAAUCUUGGAAAUGCAUGUCUCACUAGUUUCUUCGUGACUGGUGCUUGGGAUCACAACAAACUUCGGCAGUCUUUGAAGGCAUACCAAAAUGCUGAGAAAGAUGAAAGAAUGAAGUCCAAUCCAGACUUACAUUUUAACUGUGCCACUGUGAACAGAUACCUGGAGAACUAUGAGAGGGCCCUCACUGGCUUUGAAACUGCUGCUCUAAAGGAUCCUGGUCUUAAGGCUAUUGAGGAGGUUCAGAAGAUUGUUAAUCUUCUUGACAAGAUAGAUAACCUUUUGGGAUAUGCUAGAGCCAAAAGACUUACAUCAACAGCAUCAUCUCUGACUGCUGUAAAUUUCAAUUCCUCCUAUAGAACGGGUACUAUUGAUGUUCUGCGGGAGGGCAUGAACAAAGGAGUGGCAAUAGUGGGAAAAGUGCUAUUCUUCAUCAAGCAUGAGAAUGUUGCUCCCUUGUACUACGUGAUAUGCGAUUCAAAUCAAACGUGCUUUAUUCUUUCAGUGUAUGGUGUGCGAUAUGAUGCGAUCAAAGAAGGAGAUCAGCUAACAGUAUUGGAACCUUUUCAACGACUUAUCAAUUUAUCUUGGAAGGAAAAGAUUUAUCAGUUCAAAUCGAUUCGUGUCGAUUUCUUGGAACAAGUUCUUGUGAAUGGAAAGGCUCUUUCCCCUCAGCAAGCCGUUCAUUCCUCAAUUUUUGCCCAACACAAACCAGCAUAAACCAUGAACUGUUGUUUGGAACGGAGUAUAUGCGUGUGGUAGCGUUCUUUAAACCAUAUCGUUUGUACAUAGAAAUGGUGAUGAAGUACCGAAUUCCUGCCCUGAUCAAAAGCCAGCAGCAGAGAACAGGAAAAUGGGCUAAUUAAAAUAGAGUACAAGGACACACAAGGAAAUUGGAAAGGCACUAAUUAUUGAUUAAAAGAUUGGAGGCAAAGGCGAAGGCCGUGUAAGGGUUUGGGGUUCAUACCGCCAAAAAACUUGAAGUUAGGAUCCACCAAUUCACAUUUGAACCUCUUCACAAGAUGAUGCAAGAAAAUGAGGAUUUGGAGACGGGCGAAGUCUUUUCCUGGGCAAAUUCAAGGACCACCCUCAAAGGGGAUGUUCAUGUAAGGCGGGGUCGGCGAUUUCUUGUACCUUGUUGGAUCAAACUCUUCUGGUGCUGGGAAAUCUGCAUUUAUGUUUGUCGUGCUUACUGUCCAGUAUACCUACUCAAACCACAACAACUGCCAAUUUAUUAGUUCAUCAAACCUUGUAAUCAAAAUACGUAGUACUAAUUCUUGUGAUAAAUUUAUAAUCACGAAUUUCUACUACUCAUUUUCUGUAACAAUUAUAUCCGAGUGGGGGUUUAGUGCAGG
Molecule: RNA transcript, 2003 nt
Organism: Morus notabilis
Lineage: Eukaryota; Viridiplantae; Streptophyta; Magnoliopsida; Rosales; Moraceae
Gene name: tetratricopeptide repeat protein 5
Exons: 14
Source: RefSeq, a predicted model, not a curated record